Molecule: ribosomal RNA, 317 nt
Filed under: uncultured Paludibacter sp.
Lineage: Bacteria; Pseudomonadati; Bacteroidota; Bacteroidia; Bacteroidales; Paludibacteraceae
Description: partial 16S ribosomal RNA
Source: RNAcentral
GGAGUUUGGACCGUGUCUCAGUUCCAAUGUGGGGGACCUUCCUCUCAGAACCCCUACUGAUCGUCGGCUUGGUGGGCCGUUACCCCACCAACUACCUAAUCAGAAGCGUGCUCACCCAUAGUCCUUACGUUUCAUCACAAAGUCAUGCGGCUUCGUGACACAUGGAGUGUUAAUUCAGCUUUCGCUGGGCUAUCCCCCGACUAUGGACAGAUUGCACACCUGUUACGCACCCGUGCGCCGGUCGCCGCCAGAAAUAGCAAGCUACUUCCGCGCUGCCCCUCGACUUGCAUGUGUUAGGCCUGUCGCUAGCGUUCAUC